Long non-coding RNA from Aricia agestis (brown argus), 99 nucleotides. RefSeq lists it as uncharacterized. The record is from RefSeq and is a predicted model, not a curated record. Lineage: Eukaryota; Metazoa; Arthropoda; Insecta; Lepidoptera; Lycaenidae. The transcript has 3 exons.
UGUUCCGUCGGCGGGAUUCGAACCUGCGACCCCCGGCUUGACCUACCAAAUCGCUCACCAACUGAACCACGGAGGUCGCCAAUCACAACGAUAUCGAAA